AGCAGAACUGACCCAUCCCAAGAUGGGCAGCGGAGGUGAUCUUGCUGAGGUGAUGUCCUGCACAGUGCCUUUGUGUCAGUAGGGUCUGAACACAAAGCCCACGUCUCUAAUUGUGGUGGGAGCGAUGAGAUGGCGGCAUACAGCCCACUGCAGGGCUGGUGUGCCAUCAACCCUGUCCACCUGCUAUGCAUUCCAGGCAAAAGAAGCAGCAGUAGAGGAACCCACUGCUCUGCACAUUAAGGUGGACAACAAAGAGCCAUUACCUCCACCCCCGUAAUCAUUCCUGUUGCUCUUCUCUGGAUUUCACCUCAUUUGUCCUCGUUGGGAGGCAGAGCAGAAGCCAACCAGCCCGGAGCCUGGGCUGGGGCUGAGGUGGGAGAGGAGGGAAGCUACACCGGAGCUCAGUGAAGCAGUGGCAGCCAGGCUGAGACCUGAGACACAGCCUGCACGACAGCCAGACCCUUGGGAGGCCCUUCUGCCUGGAAGCAGAAGCAUCAGCAGUCAGAUGCCGUUUUAUUUGGCCAGGACUUGAAAAUCCCCAGGGAUGGAUCCCCUGUGUCUGAGCUGUCCCAGGGUGCACCACCACCCGGGGAAGAAAUCUUUUCUCCCAUCUGAUCUGAAUAUCCCACCUGGAGCCACCGCCUCUUGUUCUCUCAUCCACCACUGAUGAGACCUUGUGGGUUAAUCACGCUGGCCUGUGCACUGGGGAAAUAACUUCUUGCCUUGAGGUGAAAUAAAGCUUGUCUGGCUG
Non-coding RNA from Phasianus colchicus (ring-necked pheasant), 751 nucleotides. The record is from RefSeq and is a predicted model, not a curated record. Lineage: Eukaryota; Metazoa; Chordata; Aves; Galliformes; Phasianidae.